Long non-coding RNA from Peromyscus leucopus (white-footed mouse), 3027 nucleotides. RefSeq lists it as uncharacterized. The record is from RefSeq and is a predicted model, not a curated record. The transcript has 4 exons. Lineage: Eukaryota; Metazoa; Chordata; Mammalia; Rodentia; Cricetidae.
ACCUCGCCCUUUCCGAGGUCCGCCGCCGCGUGUGUAGAAGUCAUGGCCGCUUCUGUCCGCCGUGCACUCACUGAAAAGGCUAGGGCUUGGGGUGUUGGCAUGCCUUUGGCACCGGUUGAGACGUUGGGAAGCAGAGCUGGAGGUGCCAUUCCAGAAGUAAUGGCAGGAUCCCUAAGCAUAAACGGACCGGUGUGGCCACCAGUAAGACGGAGGAGAUAGAUGGUGGGCAUCUGCUUGAUGCGGUAGUUCUGAAGUUCACCUGUAAGAACGCAUGUUGAACCAUGAGUCCAUUUCGAUUGGAAUUGGCUCCUAGAGACGUCAUCAUAAGAUGUGGUACGUAAGGAUCUUCACGGUGAUGCUGUGUGUGUGUGGUAAGAGCUUCAUAGAAUUGCAGGAUUGUGGUUGCCUAGGAUUGGUCUGUUAGAUUUGGGGUUGUAGGUGUUGCAGGAUGUGAUUGCUCUUCACAUAGUGCUCUCAUAAGAGGUAAAAAGUUUGUGAACACAAAAUUAUCCCCCGCUCUGCCGCCACGUAGAUUGAGGCUUAGCAGAUUCUCCUCAAAGUUAUAUAAGCAGCUAUUGGCUUCCAGGGGACAUCUUUUUUUUUUAAAGAUUUAUUUAUUUAUUAUGUAUACAGUGUUCUGUCUUCACACACCCCUGCAGGCCAGAAGAGGGCACCAGAUCUCACUACAGAUGGUUGUGAGCCACCAUGUGGUUGCUGGGAAUUGAACUCAGGACCUUUGGAAGAGCAAGCAGUGCUCUUAACCUCUGAGCCAUCUCUCCAGCCCCUCCAGAGGACAUCUUAAUUGAUGCUGGAUGACUGUCCUUCAAGGCACAGGGCAGCCGUUAUAAGGACUUCUGCACCCAGCAUGUCAAUACAGCUGAAGCUAAGAAACUCUUAGAAAUUGCAUUUUACAUAUUGGGGGGGGGGUGGAGGGGAGAUCAAACCUUUGAACCUGAGCCUUGUGCAUAUUUAGAGAUUGGCAAACACAUGCCAUGGCACACUCACAUACAAAAGAAACAGUCAGUUUUUUCUCUCCUUUACAUACUGAGGCGAAAUUGCAGUUUAGAUUAACUAAAGAUUUGGGCCUGCUGGCUGAGAGUGACCCAGAGCCUUGUAUCUUUUGUAAAGCAGAAUUAGUGGUUCCCAAACCUGGAUGUAUCUCAGAACACCUAAAAAGUGUUUCCUGGGUCCACCUCUGCCAGUGGAUGAGAAAGGUUCUAGAAUGGACUCCAGAACCUUGUGGGAGGUCUGAGAACAGGCAUGCAGAAACUCUUCGAUGAUCUGUUCUACUGUGUGUUCCACUGUGAGUGCUGGGAUUAAUGUGAAGGUGCAGGCUGAAUCUCUGGGGCAGAAAGGGGUGCUACAGCAGCCACACAGGUAACCAUCCUGCACCUGGACUUGCGCCUAGAUCAGAAUGAUGUGGAUAGGCGGCAGCACUUCCUCACGCAGCUGGGUGGAGGGGAGCAUCUGCUUUUGAUUCCCUUACUCUGACUGCUGAGUGGUUUUGUUUCUUCUCUGGGUUGUGCAAGGUGAGAGGCUCUCUUGUGACGAAUAAAGCAGUUGCCUUCUUCUGACUCCCCCCCCUCUAAUUUGAGAUAGAGUCUGAUUGUAAAGUCCCGUUUGGCCCGGGACUUGCUAAGUAGACCUGGUUGAUCUCUCCCAGAGGUCCACCUGCUUCUGCCUUCCAAGUGCUAGGAUUAAAGGUAUGUGUCAUCAUGCCUGGCCCUUCUUUGUGAUUUUAUGUUCCCAUUUUGUGUUCCAAAAAAGCCCAUAAGCCUAUGAUGGAUGGUGAGUUAUCCCUGUCUGAAAAUUUCAACUGAGGGAAAAUACUCUGUUCUGAGGCUUAGGGGUGUGGCCCCAUGCUUGAAGAAAUUCGAGCUUUAUAAGGGAUCAAGUGGACUCCAUAAAGAGCUGUGUGUGCCCUGCUGGGACAGCCUUCCAAAACCUGUGGUCCGAUGGCCCUGUAAUCCUCUCCCUUGAGUGAAGGUUCUGAGGCUGAGGGCAGAGCCCCCGAGUUGUUAGCAGAAACAGGCCUGUUGCCAGGGCUCAUUCUGUACUCAUGGAGUGAAAUGAAAGGGGGUUUGUCACAUACUUCUAGAAAAUGAAUGUGCUCUUUGGAAGGAGGCAGGAAUGUAAGGCCUGUGCCAGCUUGUGCCUUGAGAAUGCCUACUGACCCUGUCCUUGCCUCUGCAGCAGUCCUGACAUUUAGGAAGGAAGGUGCUUGAUACUAUUUAGGUCCUGGCUAAAUGUCGUGGCUGCUUGAUGGGCACCAGAGGAGCAAGAAAGCAGCAAGUGGCGUUGGGGUGGUGUGGGCGGCCUCGGUAACCCUGUCUCGGUGGGUGGUGGGUACAGGCUUUCUUAACUUCCUCACCUAAAGUAGCUGCACUUAGGUGGGAUUUACUGAGCCCUAGCUGCCUACAGGGAAGCAGGUCUGCCUGGCUUUGCUCCUGGGUGGACUCAGGUUCAUGUCCAGAGGCAGUAAGUUGAAUGUAAAUAUUCCUGCUGCUACAUGGGAGUUCUUUUGACCAUUACCAGAAACUUAUGUCUCCUUAAAAACAAAACAAAACAAAAAAGCCAACUAGUUCAUCAGCCUGCAUUGGAACUUUGACAUGACAGUGCCCGCCUGUGCUCAGUGCACAGAAUGCCUGGUAAAUGAUAGUGGCAUGAGCCCGGGCUGAUUGUACUGGUUUCCAAAUUCUUCAGUUUUGAGUCACUAAGUUAGCAGGCUGUUAGCUUCACUUUUUUUUUUUCUCCAGGUUAUUGCCCUGUAGUGCCCUGCCGCCGCCCUUAAUCUCCCAGAGAGUGUCAUCAGAAGACCUUGGAGUUUGAUCUGCAAAAGUGGCCAGCAGAGUCAAGUGACUGCGAUCACCCUGGGAAACCUCUGGCAGCCACUGAGUGCUCUCAGUUGGAGGCACCAGGGAGGCAGGUGCUGUGUCUAAAAAAGCAUUUCUCACAGUGGAUUUCCUGAGAAAUCGGGGUUGGGCUUUGUGUUUUGAAGCACAAAUAAACUUUGUAAAAUUUAACUCA